This is a non-coding RNA of Shinella sp. DD12, 174 nucleotides long. The record is from Rfam. Lineage: Bacteria; Pseudomonadati; Pseudomonadota; Alphaproteobacteria; Hyphomicrobiales; Rhizobiaceae.
UCCAUCGUGAGGUGGAAUCUGAAGGAAGCCCAAGGCAAAGUCCCGGUCCGAUGAACAAGAACCAGAUACAAGGCUAAGUGAAGUGGACGAGUUUGCAAGGCAAAACGAAGUCCAAUAGCUAUCCAGAACUUCACGGAGUAAAUCUGGCGGAUAGAUGGGAUGAAAGUUAUUGCA